Molecule: long non-coding RNA, 695 nt
Organism: Puntigrus tetrazona (Sumatra barb)
Lineage: Eukaryota; Metazoa; Chordata; Actinopteri; Cypriniformes; Cyprinidae
Exons: 3
Source: RefSeq, a predicted model, not a curated record
GAUUGCUGUGCUUGAAGCGGAAGCAGCACUAGGAGCGAUCGUCUCUUCGUCUUGCUAGUUAUGAAAAACACGAAAAAACAUCAGAAGAGCGAGAAAGGCGUCUGAGUCACUGCUGGAGACAAGGCUUCGCUGAGAAACCCAAACUGUGGACCACCUGUUGCGAGGUAAAAGCCACAAAGCCGCACGGACAGGUGAAGAUUGACAGUAAGGCAACUGUUGAUGUGGAGACUGGAGCGUGAUGUUGGACUUUUUAGGUAAACACUGUAAUUUAUUGUACGUGAAACGGCUUUCUAGCCGUGACUUUUGAGAGUCGCAAUCACUUAGAGCAAAUCUCAGCUUUCAGUUCAUGCUUCCGUAAUGGUGAGAAUCCAAUUAUGGGAGUGAUGACUUUCCUCGUUUCCUUUAGAAUCAUGUUGAUUAAAGGGUGAAUAAUGACUCCUUAAAGGGGGGCAAAAGGUUGUUUUAAACCCGCCCGUUGCUUGCCCAUCCCUGAUACGAGUUCAGUCAAAUUAUGUAGAAUGACUAGCAUCCGAAAAUGUCACCAUUAGUGCAGCUUUUUGUUUGAGAACAGUGCUCAAAAUAGAAAUCUUAAUACAAACUCCUAGGCAUUUUAAACUAAAUGUCAAAUAUAGUCAAAAGGAAAAUAAGAAAUGAUAUUUUGCCACCAUAUUUAGAUUUCUUAUGUUUUAUAUAAG